GUUGAACAAUUCAUAAAAUAUACAACAAGUACAGGUGGCUGUCAAAAUCUUGAUUCAGAUAAUCAAUAUGUUUGAAUAAUUAAAUUAAUGUACGUUUCAUUAUAAUACGAUAUGCUGAUUGUCUAACAGCAAUCUUGCGUCAUUCUGAAAUAAAUCCUUUUUCAAAAUGAAUUGUAACAUUGAUGAUGGCACGAGCUUCUACUAUAAAGUACAAAGGUAAAUAAAAGAAAAACUUGAUAGUAGUCGUGUUUUUAUAAUCAAA
This 262-nucleotide long non-coding RNA is filed under the name Mytilus galloprovincialis (Mediterranean mussel). The record is from RNAcentral. Lineage: Eukaryota; Metazoa; Mollusca; Bivalvia; Mytilida; Mytilidae.